GAGGGUGUAACUCAGAUGGACAGAGUGCUUGCUUCCGAGGCAAGUGGUCACAGGUUCGAUCCCUGUCAUCCUCG
This 74-nucleotide transfer RNA is filed under the name Pantanalinema sp. GBBB05. RNAcentral's name for it is "tRNA-Arg". It matches the Rfam family "tRNA". Rfam says of the family: Transfer RNA (tRNA) molecules are approximately 80 nucleotides in length. Their secondary structure includes four short double-helical elements and three loops (D, anti-codon, and T loops). The record is from RNAcentral. RNAcentral also lists the same sequence under 2 other names. Lineage: Bacteria; Bacillati; Cyanobacteriota; Cyanophyceae; Leptolyngbyales; Leptolyngbyaceae.